Molecule: RNA transcript, 1032 nt
Organism: Sitophilus oryzae (rice weevil)
Lineage: Eukaryota; Metazoa; Arthropoda; Insecta; Coleoptera; Curculionidae
Gene name: serine/arginine-rich splicing factor 7-like
Exons: 5
Source: RefSeq, a predicted model, not a curated record
UCCAUUUUCUUUGUCAUUUAUGUUCGGGUUCCGCCAUUGUGCGGCUUUUGCUUUGAUUUUUAAAUAAUAAUAAUAAAAGCUGUUUUAUUUCUAGAAAUGCACCGAUAAACACGUAGUUCGUGUUUCAUUGCUAUAGUGCAAAUUAGUUUACAGAAUUCGAGUCAGGUUUUACGAAAUAGAACAUGUCUCGUUACAAUUCUGAUUGUAAGGUGUAUGUGGGCGACUUGGGCAACAGUGCAUCCAAGCAGGACAUCGAGGAUUCUUUUAGGUAUUAUGGCCCCCUGAGGAAUGUUUGGGUGGCCCGGAAUCCACCCGGCUUUGCCUUUGUGGAGUUCGAAGAUCCAAGAGAUGCAGAAGAUGCUGUGAGAGGCUUAGAUGGAAGAACAAUCUGUGGUCGUAGAGCCCGGGUAGAAAUGUCCAAUGCCAAAAGUGGUGGUGGACGUUACCGUGGUCCACCCCCAAGGUCUCGUGGGCGUCCUUUCCAUCCAGAUGAUCGUUGCUACGAGUGUGGUGACCGAGGUCAUUAUGCAAGAGACUGCAGUAGAUAUAGAAGAGGCGGUGGUAGUCGCCGAGAUAGGUCAAUAGCAUGUGGUCGAUAGUCAGGUAACGAACGCUAUGAGUAUGCUCUUGAUCUUCUCGUGUGUCUGUAAGACUCUCGUCACUCGCAGAGCUGCGUAGAAUCGUCGAGCAGUAGAGUGACGUCGGCACGCUUCUGUUCAGAGUCAGCUUUCGACACGACUGCUUAAACCAAAAAAGUACAAGAUUGACUCCUAGUCUACUACUACUACUACUACAAGUGAGCCAGUGAGCUUUAGCCCGGUUGACCCUCAGAUCACCCUUCUACCUAGUCGAAUUACUACUAUCUUCACAUGACCAUGUCUCACAAGCUCACUGUUUGAAAUGGUCUCGCAGUCGUUCUAGGAGCCGAUCCAGGGAUCGUAGGAGCCGUUCCAGGAGCAAUUCGAGAUCGCGCAGUCGUUCCCGGUCGCGCCGCUCCCGUUCCGCGUCGGCCAAGAAGAGCCGCAGCCGCUC